UACGGAGGGUGCAAGCGUUAUCCGGAUUUACUGGGUUUAAAGGGUGCGUAGGCGGGCUAUUAAGUCAGUGGUGAAAUCUCUAGGCUCAACCUGGAAACUGCCAUUGAUACUAUUAGUCUUGAAUAUUGAUGAGGUGGGCGGAAUACAUCAUGUAGCGGUGAAAUGCUUAGAUAUGAUGUAGAACACCAAUUGCGAAGGCAGCUCACUGGGCAAUUAUUGACGCUGAGGCACGAAAGCGUGGGGAUCAAACAGG
RNAcentral lists this ribosomal RNA (253 nucleotides) under uncultured bacterium. RNAcentral describes it as "partial 16S ribosomal RNA". It matches the Rfam family "Bacterial small subunit ribosomal RNA", at positions 524 to 776 of the family's 1533-position model. The record is from RNAcentral.